GACGAACGCUGGCGGCGUGCCUAAUACAUGCAAGUAGAACGCUGAAGGAGGAGCUUGCUUCUCCGGAUGAGUUGCGAACGGGUGAGUAACGCGUAGGUAACCUGCCUGGUAGCGGGGGAUAACUAUUGGAAACGAUAGCUAAUACCGCAUAAGAGUAGAUGUCGCAUGACAUUUGCUUAAAAGGUGCAACUGCACCACUACCAGAUGGACCUGCGUUGUAUUAGCUAGUUGGUGAGGUAACGGCUCACCAAGGCAACGAUACAUAGCCGACCUGAGAGGGUGAUCGGCCACACUGGGACUGAGACACGGCCCAGACUCCUACGGGAGGCAGCAGUAGGGAAUCUUCGGCAAUGGACGGAAGGCUGACCGAGCAACGCCGCGUGAGUGAAGAAGGUUUUCGGAUCGUAAAGCUCUGUUGUAAGAGAAGAACGAGUGUGAGAGUGGAAAGUUCACACUGUGACGGUAUCUUACCAGAAAGGGACGGCUAACUACGUG
RNAcentral lists this ribosomal RNA (495 nucleotides) under uncultured bacterium. Its description in RNAcentral is "partial 16S ribosomal RNA". It matches the Rfam family "Bacterial small subunit ribosomal RNA", at positions 28 to 507 of the family's 1533-position model. The record is from RNAcentral.